UACGUAGGGCGCAAGCGUUGUCCGGAAUUAUUGGGCGUAAAGAGCUCGUAGGCGGUUUGCCGCGUCUGCCGUGAAAGCCCGGGGCUCAACCCCGGGUCUGCGGUGGGUACGGGCAGACUGGAGUGCAGUAGGGGAGACCGGAAUUCCUGGUGUAACGGUGAAAUGCGCAGAUAUCAGGAGGAACACCGAUGGCGAAGGCAGGUCUCUGGGCUGUAACUGACGCUGAGGAGCGAAAGCAUGGGGAGCGAACAGG
RNAcentral lists this ribosomal RNA (253 nucleotides) under uncultured bacterium. RNAcentral's name for it is "partial 16S ribosomal RNA". It matches the Rfam family "Bacterial small subunit ribosomal RNA", at positions 524 to 776 of the family's 1533-position model. The record is from RNAcentral.